ACACAAGCAGGGGAGAUACCAUGAACACAAAGGUGGUUUUCCCAGAAGGAGGCCUAUCCAUUGCACCCUGGAUGUGCUGACCCCCGCAAUUUCCCCGAAUGUGAGAAACUGGACUGCAGAAUUUGUGGUUAUUAACAAGUUGUGAUCAUCUGUUGA
Small nuclear RNA from Onychomys torridus (southern grasshopper mouse), 156 nucleotides. RefSeq annotates it as U1 spliceosomal RNA. The transcript has a single exon. The record is from RefSeq and is a predicted model, not a curated record. NCBI's taxonomy places the organism in Eukaryota, Metazoa, Chordata, Mammalia, Rodentia, Cricetidae.